This 2430-nucleotide ribosomal RNA is filed under the name Listeria monocytogenes. RNAcentral's name for it is "partial 23S ribosomal RNA". It matches the Rfam family "Bacterial large subunit ribosomal RNA", at positions 1 to 2421 of the family's 2925-position model. The record is from RNAcentral. Lineage: Bacteria; Bacillati; Bacillota; Bacilli; Caryophanales; Listeriaceae.
UUGGUUAAGUUAGAAAGGGCGCACGGUGGAUGCCUUGGCACUAGGAGCCGAAGAAGGACGGGACUAACACCGAUAUGCUUUGGGGAGCUGUACGUAAGCGUUGAUCCAGAGAUUUCCGAAUGGGGGAACCCACUAUCUUUAGUCGGAUAGUAUCCUUACGUGAAUACAUAGCGUGAGGAAGGCAGACCCAGGGAACUGAAACAUCUAAGUACCUGGAGGAAGAGAAAGAAAAAUCGAUUUCCUGAGUAGCGGCGAGCGAAACGGAAAGAGCCCAAACCAAGAAGCUUGCUUCUUGGGGUUGUAGGACACUCUAUACGGAGUUACAAAAGAAAGUUAUAAAUGAAGCGGUCUGGAAAGGCCCGCCAAAGACGGUAACAGCCCGGUAGUUGAAAUGGCUUUCCCUCCAGAGUGGAUCCUGAGUACGGCGGAACACGUGAAAUUCCGUCGGAAUCCGGGAGGACCAUCUCCCAAGGCUAAAUACUCCCUAGUGACCGAUAGUGAACCAGUACCGUGAGGGAAAGGUGAAAAGCACCCCGGAAGGGGAGUGAAACAGUUCCUGAAACCGUGUGCCUACAAGUAGUUAGAGCCCGUUAAUGGGUGAUAGCGUGCCUUUUGUAGAAUGAACCGGCGAGUUACGAUUUGUUGCAAGGUUAAGCGGAAAAAGCGGAGCCGUAGCGAAAGCGAGUCUGAAUAGGGCGCAUAAGUAACAGGUCGUAGACCCGAAACCAGGUGAUCUACCCAUGUCCAGGAUGAAGGUAAGGUAAUACUUACUGGAGGUCCGAACCCACGCACGUUGAAAAGUGCGGGGAUGAGGUGUGGGUAGCGGAGAAAUUCCAAUCGAACUUGGAGAUAGCUGGUUCUCUCCGAAAUAGCUUUAGGGCUAGCCUCGAGGUAAAGAGUCAUGGAGGUAGAGCACUGUUUGGACUAGGGGCCCUUCUCGGGUUACCGAAUUCAGAUAAACUCCGAAUGCCAUGUACUUAUACUCGGGAGUCAGACUGCGAGUGAUAAGAUCCGUAGUCGAAAGGGAAACAGCCCAGACCACCAGUUAAGGUCCCCAAAUAUAUGUUAAGUGGAAAAGGAUGUGGGGUUGCUUAGACAACCAGGAUGUUGGCUUAGAAGCAGCCACCAUUGAAAGAGUGCGUAAUAGCUCACUGGUCGAGUGACCCCGCGCCGAAAAUGUACCGGGGCUAAACAUAUUACCGAAACUGUGGAUGAACCUCUUUAGAGGUUCGUGGUAGGAGAGCGUUCUAAGGGCGGUGAAGUCAGACCGGAAGGACUGGUGGAGCGCUUAGAAGUGAGAAUGCCGGUAUGAGUAGCGAAAGAAGGGUGAGAAUCCCUUCCACCGAAUAUCUAAGGUUUCCUGAGGAAGGCUCGUCCGCUCAGGGUUAGUCGGGACCUAAGCCGAGGCCGAUAGGCGUAGGCGAUGGACAACAGGUAGAGAUUCCUGUACCAGUGCUAAUUGUUUAACCGAUGGGGUGACACAGAAGGAUAGGGAAUCGCACGAAUGGAAAUGUGCGUCCAAGCAGUGAGUGUGAGAAGUAGGCAAAUCCGCUUCUCGCGAAGCAUGAGCUGUGAUGGGGAAGGAAAUUAAGUACGGAAGUUCCUGAUUUCACGCUGUCAAGAAAAGCCUCUAGGAAGAGUAGUACUGCCCGUACCGCAAACCGACACAGGUAGAUGAGGAGAGAAUCCUAAGGUGAGCGAGAGAACUCUCGUUAAGGAACUCGGCAAAAUGACCCCGUAACUUCGGGAGAAGGGGUGCUCUAUUAGGGUGCAAGCCCGAGAGAGCCGCAGUGAAUAGGCCCAGGCGACUGUUUAGCAAAAACACAGGUCUCUGCAAAACCGUAAGGUGACGUAUAGGGGCUGACGCCUGCCCGGUGCUGGAAGGUUAAGAGGAGUGCUUAGCUUCGGCGAAGGUACGAAUUGAAGCCCCAGUAAACGGCGGCCGUAACUAUAACGGUCCUAAGGUAGCGAAAUUCCUUGUCGGGUAAGUUCCGACCCGCACGAAAGGCGCAACGAUCUGGGCACUGUCUCAACGAGAGACUCGGUGAAAUUAUAGUACCUGUGAAGAUGCAGGUUACCCGCGACAGGACGGAAAGACCCCGUGGAGCUUUACUGCAACCUGAUAUGGAAUGUUUGUACCGCUUGUACAGGAUAGGUAGGAGCCGAAGAGACGUGUGCGCUAGCAUACGAGGAGGCAAUGGUGGGAUACUACCCUGGCUGUAUGACCAUUCUAACCCGCCACGCUUAGCGCGUGGGGAGACAGUGUCAGGUGGGCAGUUUGACUGGGGCGGUCGCCUCCUAAAGAGUAACGGAGGCGCCCAAAGGUUCCCUCAGAAUGGAUGGAAAUCAUUCGCAGAGUGUAAAGGCACAAGGGAGCUUGACUGCGAGACUGACAAGUCGAGCAGGGACGAAAGUCGGGCUUAGUGAUCC